Molecule: long non-coding RNA, 1929 nt
Filed under: Macaca mulatta (Rhesus monkey)
Lineage: Eukaryota; Metazoa; Chordata; Mammalia; Primates; Cercopithecidae
Description: lncRNA (ENSMMUG00000055752.1)
Source: RNAcentral
CCAAAUAGGGUUGUUGGCAGAAGUCUCAGUUAUCUUCCAUGUAGUAUCCCCACCAACUCACUUGAGCUUCUUUGUUUUUUUUUUUUUUUUUCGAGAUGGAGUUUUGCUCUGUCACUCAGGCUGGAGUGUAGUGGUACGAUCUUGGCUCACAGAAACCUCUGCUUCCCAGGUUCAAGCAAUUCUUCUACCUCAGCAUCCCGAGUAGCUGGGACUACAGGUGCGUGCCACCAUGCCUGACUAAUGUUUGUAUUUUUCAGUAGACGGGGUUUCACCAUGAUGGCCAGGCUAGUCUCGAACUUCUGACCUCAGGUGAUCCGCCCGCUUCAGCCUCCCAAAGUGCUGGGUUUACAGGCGUGAGCCACUGCACCCGGCCUCACUUGGUCUUCUGACAGCACAAUCAUGGGUUGAGAGAGCACGUGAAGAAACAUCACAUCUCCUAAGGCUCAGUCUUAGAAGUUCCCACCAUGUUCUGUUUGUUCAAAUAAGCCACAGGGUCAGUUCCAAUUUAAGGGAAAGAGAAAUGAACUCUACCUUUUCCUGGGAAGAGUGGCAAAAAACAAACCUGCAGUCAUCUUUAGUCCUCCACCGCAUCUCUGAAGUUACGCCUCAUCGUUUCAACAGAGACCGCGAACAACAAGAUCUUGUUUUCAUAUUUAAAAACCAAGAAAAAUAUUUCUUCUCACAGCAACUAGUGAAAGAUGAGGUGAGGCCUGAGCGGAGCCUGCGAGUCAUCCUGCUGUCAGAGGCAUGUGAACCAGAGCAACUCCAUCGUGAAUAGCAGCGGGAUAAAUGAGGUUGAAACCUACUGGUCUACAUUCCCAGAGGGUUAAGGCAUUGUAAGUCACAGGAUGAGACAGGAGGUCAGCACAAAAUACAGGUCAUAAAGACCUUGCUGAUAAAACAGGUUGCAGUAAAGAAGCCAGCCAAAACCUACCAAAACCAAAAUGGACACGAGAGUGACCUCUGGUCCUCCUCACUGCUAUACUCACACCAAUGCCAUGACAGUUUACGAAUGCCAUAGCGACAUCAGGAAGUUACCCUAUAUGGUCAAAAAAGGGGAGGCAUAGAUAAGCCACCCCUUAUUAGCAUAGCAUCAAGAAAUAACCAUAAAAUUGGGCAACCAGUCACCCUCGGGGCUGCUCUGUCUUUGGAGUAGCCAUUCUUUUAUUCCUUUACUUUCUUAAUAAAUUUGCUUUUGCUUUGCACUGUGGACUCGCCCUGAAUUCUUUCUUGUGCAAGAUCCAGGAACCCUCUCUGGGGGUUUGGAUCGGGACCCCUUUCCUGUAACACCGCUAUACUGUCCAGGUUCAGGCAUUGAAGUUAUUGGACUGCAGAGGGCACUGCCUCAUUCAGUUAAGAUGAAAAGCGUCGCUAGAGAUCUUCCCAAGACAGUCAGGGACUCUCAUUCCCAGCAAAAUGACAAUUAGGGCAGAUUUUAAUGUGUGACCUUGACCUGCAUCUAUUAUGGAAUGGUCUUCUAAAAAGUUGUGUGUGCUAGAUCUAAAAGACCCAUCUAAAGGAAACAAACUUACGACGAAGCAUUAUGUAUUACAAGCCCCUUGUUCCUGGGGUCAGAGCUGCUGUUCUUUAGGUCUGGUCUUUUUUUUUUUUUUUUGAGACAGGAUCUCACUUUGUCACCCAGGCUGCAGUGCAGUGGCACAAUCUUGGGCUCAAACGAUCCUCCCACCUCAGCCUCCCGAGUAGCUGGGACUAUAGGUCGACACCACCACACCCAGCUAAUUUUUGUAGAGAUGGGGUUUCACCAUAGCAUAUGGACACCAUUCUUAGGCUGGUCUCAAACUCCUGAGCUCAAGCGACCCACCCUCCUCGGCCUCCCAAAGUACUAGGAUUACAGACAUGAGCCACUGCGUCUGGCAGGUCUGGUCUUCAUAUACCAGUGCUUUGAGGGUUGCUGCCAAUGUAAACAAG